GCUCUCAACUCCAUGCGAUCGGGAGCCAUGCCCAAAUUGUAUUUGUACUGCUUCAAAAAAGCGUUAGCUAGGUCCAACCAUAACUAAAUGUGAUUCCUUUCUAGCUUCAUAUACCAACUAAAUGAUUCCCCGGUCAAACUGUCUUAAAAAUAAUGAAUCAUUAGCUUAUCAUUGUGAGCAUAAGAAGUCAUUUUUCGACAAAACAU
Molecule: long non-coding RNA, 206 nt
Filed under: Lathyrus oleraceus (garden pea)
Lineage: Eukaryota; Viridiplantae; Streptophyta; Magnoliopsida; Fabales; Fabaceae
Description: Pisum sativum (pea) long non-coding RNA (PSAT_LNC039190)
Source: RNAcentral